RNAcentral lists this ribosomal RNA (529 nucleotides) under Hesperia sassacus. RNAcentral describes it as "partial 16S ribosomal RNA". It matches the Rfam family "Bacterial large subunit ribosomal RNA", at positions 1811 to 2608 of the family's 2925-position model. Lineage: Eukaryota; Metazoa; Arthropoda; Insecta; Lepidoptera; Hesperiidae. The record is from RNAcentral.
AAACAUGUCUUUUUGAUAAAUAAUUUAAAGUCUAAUCUGCCCACUGAUUUAGAUAUUAAAGGGCUGCAGUAUAUUGACUGUACAAAGGUAGCAUAAUCAUUAGUCUUUUAAUUGAAGACUUGUAUGAAAGAUUUGAUGAGAUAUAAACUGUCUCUUAAUUAUAUUUAGAACUUAAUUUUUUAGUAAAAAAGCUAAAAUAUUUUUAAAAGACGAGAAGACCCUAUAGAGUUUGAUAAUUAAUUUUGUUGAAAUUUUAAAUAAAUUUUAUAUAAAGAUAAAUUUAAUUAUUUUGUUGGGGUGAUAGAAAAAUUUAAUAAACUUUUUUUAUUAAACUAAUACUAAUAAGUAGGUAUAUGAUCCAUAAAUUAUGAUUAAAAGAAAAAAUUACCUUAGGGAUAACAGCGUAAUUUUUUUUUUUAGUUCAAAUAAGAAAAAAAGUUUGCGACCUCGAUGUUGGAUUAAGAUAAAAUUUAAAUGCAGAAGUUUAAAAUUUUGAUCUGUUCGAUCAUUAAAAUCUUACAUGAUCUGA